This 120-nucleotide ribosomal RNA is filed under the name uncultured bacterium. RNAcentral's name for it is "partial 16S ribosomal RNA". It matches the Rfam family "Bacterial small subunit ribosomal RNA", at positions 29 to 149 of the family's 1533-position model. The record is from RNAcentral.
AACGAACGUUAGCGGCGCGCCUAACACAUGCAAGUCGAGCGAGAAAGGGCUUCGGCCCCGGUAAAGCGGCGCACGGGUGAGUAACACGUAGGCAAUCUGCCUCUGAGUGGUGGAUAACCU